CCGAAAAAAGGAAGCAAACACUCUCCUCAUAUUGACAAUAUAUUUUUGACAUUCUUAUUCUAUCACAAAAACACAACGUUUGGUUUAGAUGUGAACAAUACAAAAUUGUUUACUUUGAGAAUGCAAGUCACGAGAUGAAAACGUGCACUCGAGCAAAUUGUAUAAAUUGGGAUAAACGUCCGAAAAUGUCUUUUAGAACGGUGCAUACUGAGUUAUAAAAUGAACAUUUAACUGUACCGGGAGUUCAUAGUGCGUUGACAUCGUCCACGUCGUUACUAUCAGGAGCAUCCGUACCGUCCCACGCGUCUUUCGUGCCAAUUUAUACACCGAGGUAUGGAAACUACGUCAAGGAAGCAGAUUCGAAAAAUCCACCCGAUACAUACUAUAUACUAUCAGAUGCAAACGAAUUGGUAUAGUAUAUAUAUGAGGAAACACACUUUUACAGUGUUUUAAAAUGCGAAUAAGGGUUUCACCGGAGAGCGGAUGCAGUGGUUUUCAGAGUAUUAGACCAACGUGCUGAGAUGAUCAUCUAUUUACUGGUAGUAUGGCAUAUUGUAAACUCGCACGGGUAACUACCACCAUACUGUUUUUUUCUGCCGCGAAGUUAUGUUUAUGUUAUGCUUUUUAGUUAUACUUUACGGUUUAGAAUGUGCGACAAAUAUUUUACAAUGACACUUCAAGCUCAUGUCUUAAAGUGUGUGGCGACAAUCACAUGAUAUCUAUGGUAUGCGGUAACCACUUCGAACUGAUUGAUCUAGUUUUUUUUUACGAGGAACCUUUGUAGGCGGUGGAAUUUUGUUGUUUAUCUCUCGGUAACACCACAGCUAUCAAUAAUUACGGAGCCCUGAAAACGUAGCAAUUGCGUUUACCUUUUAGGGUUCUAUAACCGUAUGAAAACGGUAUCCUUAUACAUUAUCAUGUCGGUAUUUAUAUUGCGUACUUUUCGUGAUAUGUGAUACUUUCAUUUACUCGCUCAGCGAACAAAAAAUUAAUUACUUAGAAUACCUACUAACUGUGAAAGUUCACGAUUGCAAAAACAAUAUAAUUCCCAUUAGGAUCAGUCAUCAGUCUUUAUGCAAUGCAAUGACUCUGAUAGCUUCUGCUAACUCAGCGGUAGAUUGAGUAUCGUGAGCUUCCAAUAUCGCCUUUAAUUCGUCGUUGAUGACUUUAGUUUCCGGGCGACUACGGGGUUCAUUCCUACGGGGUUAGAACAAUAUUUCCACAUCGGAAGCGUUCAAAAGCUUAACGGGUCGUGCGCUCGUUUGUAGUGUUCACUGUGUAUACGUCAUUAGUGUUCUGAGCCACAUGUACGACAUUGCUACCGUGAUGGAACUCGUAUUUUAUUAUUGCUCAUAUUUUUAUCGAGUCCAUACUGAUGAACAAGACAAGUGGAGAAUUGAAAUUUUAUUUUCAACAAAACCCUAAUCAAUAAAGAUAUGAAUUUGAAAAUCGAAUUCCAUUUUUUUAAAUAAAGUUCAUUUUAAUUUAGAAUUUAUUGCUGGUUAUAAAUACUUGAUUAUUAUUAUUAUUUAUUUAUAUUUAUUUAAAAUCUUAUUAAUUACAUAAUAUUUUUUAAAAAAGAUAUUAAAAAUACAAUUUUUAAAAAACACUAUAUAAAAAUAGAUUGCCGCUGAUGGUGGUGUCUACGACACAAGCCACCAGUGGUUAGGACUCCAGAGUGAGAAUCCUCCUCACAAUGCGUGCAGUAUCGAGGAUAACUGCUUUCUGUAUUAGGCCCUUAACCCAGCUGGAUAACGAAAGUUUCUUAAGAUGUUGAUCGAAACUUUUCGCUAUCAAGCCGUGUACCGAUACAACUAUUGGAACAAUGAUGGUUGAAUCAACAUGCCACAUGGCGGUAGUCUCGUGGGCCAGGUCUAAAUAUUUUAUUAAUUUGUCCUUUUCUGCCUUCACGAGGUUCUCGUCAUGAGGAAUGGUGACAUCAACCAACAGUGCUCGACGCGCAGAUCGAUCUAUUAUCACAAUAUCAGGUUUAUUGGCAACAAUAUACCUAUCCGUGAUAAUAGAUCGGUCCCAGUAGAGCGUAACAUGACCAUUAUCAAGAACUGGUUGAGGUUGGUAUUGGUAAUAAGGUACAGCAGAAUCAAGAAAACCAUAUUUCAGAGCAAGUUGUUGAUGGAUAAUCCUAGCCACUUGGUUAUGUCUAUGCAAGUACUCGCCGUUAGCAAACCGAGAACAGCCAGAAACAAUAUGUCUAAUAGACUCUCCCGGACGGUGGCAUGCCCGACAAAUGUCGACCGUCCCAUCCUUUAGUAUAUAUUUCCGGUAGUUGUUCGUCAUGAUAACUUCGUCCAUAAUUGCAAAGAUAAAACCUUCAGUUUCCCCAAAGAGGUUACUGAAAAUAGGUUAUUAUUAUUAUUAUUACAUAUUAUGUUUCAAAUGGCCAGUGUUAAAAAACGGCAACUUCAUAGGAAAACGCCUAAUAUCAAUUACUUUGAAUAUCAACCGUGAAAGUUCGCGGUUACAAAACAAUGUUGUUCCGUGGUUGUUCCCAUUAGGACAUCACUUUUAUGCAAUGUAAUGUGUCUCGGGCAACGGCACUGUAACACAAUAUUUACGCUCUCUUCGGCACGUCUUAUAAUACAUGGAACAAAAAACGCAUCCAUUCAAUUACAAUCAAAUCUGAUAAAACACCUAAUUCGGAAAAAGAUAUGAAACUGGCGUAACGAUAUAAUGGCGUAAUUGUAAACAUAGCUUUGUUUACGUGCAGGUUACCUACUUACACAUUUAUUUACAUUAUUCAUGUUACGUAUCUAAUAUGCCUUUACACAUAUUUGAAUUCGCAAUCUCUCGAUAUAGCAGAUAAAUAAAAAAUUCCAGCGUUGCUCAUUGUUUCAGAGUUAAAUGUAAAUAUUAUUUAUGUUGUAAACUGUUAAAUAUGUUCGGACACAGUAAACUAUGCAAAAGCUAAUUUGCAGAGAUCUAUAUAUUAAUACGUGAAGCAAAAACUUUGUAUCCCUUUUUACGAAAAAUGUGCGGACGGAGGAGUAUGAAAUUUUCCACACUUAUAGAGAAUAUAGAGAAGAAGUGCACAAUGCUAAUAUUUUUUAAAAUAAUGCAUAAAAGAUACAUUAAAUCAAUAAAGAAAACAUUACACACACUACAUACCAUGUAUUUGACGCACACACGCAUGCAUACUAUUUAUUGUCAAACUUUUGUUCUUGACGUCUGUUGUCAAAUUGAGAUUAAAUAUUGUUUGUCUUUGUUAAUAUUUUUUAUAGUGUAGUCUUGGCGAAAUUUGUAAUUAUAGAAGUAUAAAAUACAAUCAUAAUAGUGUACAAACUUACAAUUCCAAUUAAUUAUAGUCGAAUUUCGACUACUGCGGGACCUCUAGUAAUGAUUAAUUGACUUAAGAUAGUAAUCGGUAAUCCUUGAUAAACUUGGAUUGAGAAGAAAAUUGGCAAUUACAUAUUUUGAAAUUCCUAGAAAUAGUACUACUAUGUUAGAGUUACUGUUCACGAAAUAUCUCAAAUGUUUUCUUUGUAAUUAGAUUCGGUAUUAAAUGUACAAUUACAAAACUUUCUAGUCUAAUAAGUAUUAGACAGAUUGAACUUUAUUUAACAUAAUAAUAUACAGGUUUACAUAUAGUAAUACAGGCCUUUUUUUUCAUGUUAUUCCUAGUGAAUCCCAGCCACGCCAGUUACGCUGCGAGUAUCGGGUUAUUUUUUUUUAAAUCGACGUAUUCCUUUGUAUUGCCUACCGUAAUUGUUUUCUCAAUUGGUCAAUUCCAGUCUAUUGACAAGACUUAAAUAGUGAACCGUCUAAAUUCAUAGAAACAUAUUUUAAUCUAUACCUACUUUGUAGCGUUGCAGCUUGUAAUAUGAACGUUUUUAUGUUUCUCAGAUUCGUUUCUCAUUUCCGAGCGCAGCGCAUUAUACAAGAGUUCUUCUUAAAUUGUCAUUAUCUCCAUAUUUUUUUGCAGCUUCUUUGGACUCUUCGUCGUCAUUGUGCUACCUUGUGGAUCAGAUAACCAAUCGAUUGCCAAAUCAUAAUAAUUGUAAAUGUGGCUUUUACUUCAUUUAUACAUUUUUCAUUCUCGUAGAUCAGCAGACGGAGUUCCGGCACGACUACUUUUUAAGCCGUUGUCUUGGCAAGUGAACUCUUUCAAACCGGAACACAAGAUUAUUUUUUUAUUUCAAAAAUAAGUUCCGUCAUCUCGAUCACUAUAUUUUAUUAACCGUUUAAGAUUUUCUUAGAGAUUAAAACAAUAAGGCCGCCCAUUGUUACUUGUAUUCAUAUUUCAUUCUAAGUUUAAUGUAAGCUGGAAUCUUUAUUUUGUAACUUAUAUUAUUGUGUAAAUAAUGAAUUUGAAUACAUUAUUAAUAUUUUUAUUUAA
Molecule: long non-coding RNA, 4354 nt
Organism: Bombyx mori (domestic silkworm)
Lineage: Eukaryota; Metazoa; Arthropoda; Insecta; Lepidoptera; Bombycidae
Exons: 2
Source: RefSeq, a predicted model, not a curated record